UGAUUAUUAUAGAAGCCAUUGUUUAGCUUCCUGGAUUAUCACUAGAGAUAUCAAGCUGACCUCCUGCAAGAUUGAUUUACAGUGGACCGGCUUCCUGGGCUCAAGCACAUAUCCAUCUCCACCAGCCGCAGAGACCCCUGGACAUAUCGGGCACCAGACAGAGAAGGUGCCCUCAGCAUCAUCUGUCUCUGACUCGGCUCGGAUCAAGAGCCUCUCUGAGAGCGGCUUAAGGCAUCAAUGACUCGAUGGAUGUGAGUUUGAGUGAACUCCGGGAGUUGGUGAUGGACAGGGAGGCCUGGC
This is a long non-coding RNA of Bos taurus (domestic cattle), 300 nucleotides long. Lineage: Eukaryota; Metazoa; Chordata; Mammalia; Artiodactyla; Bovidae. The record is from Ensembl.